GAAACCGCUAGUGAGACCUCUGGUUCUUCUUUUGGUUUGAGGCACUGUGGGACAGUGCUCUGCAUCGCCGGCUCGUGACAAGUGGCGCCCGAACAGGGACCUGAAAUUGUAGCGGUGAGCGGUGAGUAAUCAGAAGAAGCCUGCUAUCAAAAAGGGCUCGGCCGAGUGGAAACAAGGAGGCCACCGCUGUCUGGAACGCCCGGCAGGGAAAAUCCUUGGAGAAGCAGGUACAUUUAUAGACCCACCACUAUACCUGAAGAGCUUGAAUCUGGGUUUCCACUGCGGAGACUGAUUGGGACCCCAAC
Molecule: long non-coding RNA, 305 nt
Filed under: Fukomys damarensis (Damara mole-rat)
Lineage: Eukaryota; Metazoa; Chordata; Mammalia; Rodentia; Bathyergidae
Description: lncRNA (ENSFDAG00000022688.1)
Source: RNAcentral